Molecule: non-coding RNA, 210 nt
Organism: Electrophorus electricus (electric eel)
Lineage: Eukaryota; Metazoa; Chordata; Actinopteri; Gymnotiformes; Gymnotidae
Source: RefSeq, a predicted model, not a curated record
CAUUCAUCUGUUUAUUUCUUCUCUCUCAUGUUCUUUUAUUUUACAGGAUGAUCCUUCCAAAGGCCACAAAGCAGAGGUCAGUGUGAGAAUUGAGAUGGUUGUUCCACCUGAUAUGAUUAUGAUUUGGAGCUGUGGGGGAGGGGGUGGAUUCCUUCUGCUCAUCAUCAUCACAGUGCUGCUGUUGAAGUGUGGAUUCUUUAAACGCAAGGG